This 497-nucleotide ribosomal RNA is filed under the name uncultured bacterium. RNAcentral's name for it is "partial 16S ribosomal RNA". It matches the Rfam family "Bacterial small subunit ribosomal RNA", at positions 28 to 507 of the family's 1533-position model. The record is from RNAcentral.
GAUGAACGCUGGCGGCGUGCCUAAUACAUGCAAGUCGAGCGAACGGACGAGAAGCUUGCUUUUCUGAUGUUAGCGGCGGACGGGUGAGUAACACGUGGAUAACCUACCUAUAAGACUGGGAUAACUUCGGGAAACCGGAGCUAAUACCGGAUAAUAUUUUGAACCGCAUGGUUCAAAAGUGAAAGACGGUCUUGCUGUCACUUAUAGAUGGAUCCGCGCUGCAUUAGCUAGUUGGUAAGGUAACGGCUUACCAAGGCAACGAUGCAUAGCCGACCUGAGAGGGUGAUAGGCCACACGGGAACGGAGACACGGUCAAGACUCCUACGGGAGGCAGCAGUAGGGAAUCUUCCGCAAUGGGCGAAAGCCUGACGGAGCAACGCCGCGUGAGUGAUGAAGGUCUUCGGAUCGUAAAACUCUGUUAUUAGGGAAGAACAUAUGUGUAAGUAACUGUGCACAUCUUGACGGUACCUAAUCAGAAAGCCACGGCUAACUACGUG